This 23-nucleotide non-coding RNA is filed under the name Mus musculus (house mouse). The record is from RNAcentral. Lineage: Eukaryota; Metazoa; Chordata; Mammalia; Rodentia; Muridae.
UGGAACCUUGUCGGACCUUGGCU